This 1326-nucleotide long non-coding RNA is filed under the name Canis lupus familiaris (dog). RNAcentral describes it as "lncRNA (ENSCAFG00030016957.1)". The record is from RNAcentral. Lineage: Eukaryota; Metazoa; Chordata; Mammalia; Carnivora; Canidae.
CCGGGGAGGGGGCGGGGAGGAGGGAGCGAGCGGGCUUUGACCGGUAGUAACCCCGGCGCCCGGCGCAGCCGAAUCUAUAAAAGGAACUAGUCGCGGCGAAACCCCGGUAAUUCCGAGCGGGAGCGGGCGCGGCCGGCACCUCCGUCCCCGGGGCAGGUGGGACCGGCGCACCCACAGCCCGCUUCUCGGGGUGCUCUGCCCCUCGCCCCCCCCGUGUCCCCCCUUCUCCGGAAGGGUUUUCCAGGGGUGGGGGCAAAGACGCGCACAGAACAGUGGAAAGCAGGAGAACCAUCCCUUCCGCCAGCAUGGUGAAACAGUCCCCAAGGAGGCACCUGCGGCACCUGACAAGGAGUAGCCGGGCCCUCUGCGCAGGUGCGGGCUGCAGGUGCGGGUGGCGCGGAGCCAGGGUGUACAGAUGUCUGGACAGUGGGAGCUUGUUGGUCUCCCAGGCGAUGCUCUCCACCUGCCUUAGCUGACUUGUUUCUCCACGGGGUAUUGUUUUCCUUCCACCGACACACAGCGCUGGGAUUGUCGUCCUCACCUGGGAGCCAGGUGUCGGGGCCACUUCCUCGGUGUUUACGCACCGUCUCCCAAGACACGCUGUGGCUUUCCGGAUUGGGAAACUGCUUUAUGGGUGGUGCUGUUUAUCAUUUGAAGGACAACAACUGUGCAGCCAGAUGAAAAUGUCGUCCGCGGCAGAUUUCAAGGAAUAGCAUAAAUUACUCCAGAUUCGAGGCCAGAUUUGUAAAUGCCGCUGACAUUUUACGUGAAGGGAGGCAUUUUCUUAGAGAGGUGAGGCAGGUGUCUGGGAUUGCAGGAUGCCAGGAUGCCAUUUCCAACCUCAGCGUUCGGACCAGCCACUUAAGUCUGUUUUCUUUUCUUUUUUUUAAAAUUUUAUUUAUUUAUUCAUGAAAGACACAGGUAGAGAGAGAGAGAGAGAGGCAGAGACACAGGCAGAGGGAGAAGCAGGCUCCAUGCAGGGAGCCCGACGUGGGACUCGAUCCCGGGUCUCCAGGAUCACGCCCUGGGCUGAAGGCGGCGCUAAACCGCUGAGCCACCCGGGCUGCCCUUAAGUCUGUUUUCUUAAGUGCAUUUUUCAUUCCCAGACGAUCACACCAACGGAGCUAAAAUGAUUAGGAUUAUAAUGACUGGCUUGCAGGCCGCCGCCAGGAAACCUCCAGCAAGCAUCCCUGUGCAGGGAGAACCCUGGGGCCAGCAGCUGGGGCCUCGGGACCUCCGGAGAGCAUUAGGCCCCCGAUCCGGGGGCUGAGGUCUCAGGUGAGGGGGCUGGCGUUUGGCUUCGCCGCGGUGACUGAUAGCUGCUCC